CAGCCGCCGCGGGAAUACGAAGGGGGCUAGCGUUGUUCGGAUUUACUGGGCGUAAAGCGCACGUAGGCGGAUCGAUCAGUCAGGGGUGAAAUCCCAGAGCUCAACUCUGGAACUGCCUUUGAUACUGUCGAUCUGGAGUAUGGAAGAGGUGAGUGGAAUUCCGAGUGUAGAGGUGAAAUUCGUAGAUAUUCGGAGGAACACCAGUGGCGAAGGCGGCUCACUGGUCCAUUACUGACGCUGAGGUGCGAAAGCGUGGGGAGCAAACAGGAUUAGAUACCCCGGUAGUCCCUGUCUCUUAUAC
RNAcentral lists this ribosomal RNA (301 nucleotides) under uncultured bacterium. RNAcentral describes it as "partial 16S ribosomal RNA". It matches the Rfam family "Bacterial small subunit ribosomal RNA", at positions 509 to 807 of the family's 1533-position model. The record is from RNAcentral.